AACGAACGCUGGCGGCAUGCCUAACACAUGCAAGUCGAACGGGACCUCCGGGCCUAGUUGCGCUCGGGGGCGGAACGCGGGGGAAGCUGCCCGUAGGUACGGAAUAAUUCCCUGUAGGGGGUGCUAAUACAGGUUAAUGUCUUCGGACCAAAGAUUUAUCGCCUUUGGAUGGGCGCGGGUUGGUUUAGCCAGUUGGGAGGGGAAAAGCCUACCAAGGCGAGGAUCCAUAGCUGGUCUGAGAGGAUGAGCAGCCACGCUGGGGCUGAGACACGGCCCAGACUCCUACGGGAGGGAGCAGAGGGGAAUACAGGACGAUGGGGUAAGGCCUGAUCCAGCAAGGCCGGGUAAGUGAUGAAGGCCGUAGGGUAGUGAAGCUGUUUUACACGAGGUGAUAAUGACGGUACCGGGAGAAUAAGCACCGGCUAACUCCGUG
Molecule: ribosomal RNA, 433 nt
Filed under: uncultured bacterium
Lineage: Bacteria
Description: partial 16S ribosomal RNA
Rfam family: Bacterial small subunit ribosomal RNA
Source: RNAcentral